CCCGCUGAACUUAAGCAUAUCAGUAAGCGGAGGAAAAGAAAAUAACAAUGAUUACCUCAGUAGCGGCGAGUGAAGAGGUAAAAGCCCAAGAUGUUAAUCCGUAGUAAAGCUAUGGAAUUGUAAUCUAUAGAAUUUCUCAGAAGGGGAAACUUGUCAUAAGUUCUUUGGAACAAGACACCACAGAGGGUGAAAGUCCCGUCUUUGGAUGAGUUGAACUGUAUGAGACGUUUCUAAGAGUCGGGUAGUUUGGGAAUGCUGCCCUAAGUGGGAGAUAAACUUCUCCUAAGGCUAAAUAUAAGAUAGGAGACCGAUAGCAUACAAGUACUGCGAAGGAAAGAUGAAAAGAACUUUGAAAAGAGGGUUAAAAGACUUGAAAUCGUUGAAAAGGAAGCAGUAAAAGAGAAAUUAUAGCCGGCGUAUUAAGUUAUUAGUCUAAGCUUAGGGGUGGAGAAUACUUCAUAGGGUUCUUGCCUUAAAGUGAAAACUAAUGGCGUUGCGCAGGUGAAAGGCAAAAUGGCAUCUUGUUGUAAUAAUAAGGCUGAAAGUUUAUUCUGAGGCUAAAAACUACAAGAAGGUGUGAGGGAUUAGAUAAUGAUUUUGCCAAAAUGGCUUUUACUGACCCGUCUUGAAACACGG
Molecule: ribosomal RNA, 636 nt
Filed under: uncultured fungus
Lineage: Eukaryota; Fungi
Description: eukaryotic LSU rRNA
Rfam family: Eukaryotic large subunit ribosomal RNA
Source: RNAcentral